CCUACGGGAGGCAGCAGUAGGGAAUAUUGCUCAAUGGGGGAAACCCUGAAGCAGCAACGCCGCGUGGAGGAUGAAGGUUUUCGGAUCGUAAACUUCUUUUGUUAGAGAAGAUAAUGACGGUAACUAACGAUUAACCACCGGCUAACUCCGAGCCAGCAGCCGCGGUAAUACGGAGGGUGCAAGCGUUAAUCGGAAUGACUGGGCGUAAAGAGCGCGUAGGCGGGAUAGCAAGUCAGAUGUGAAAGCCUAUGGCUUAACCAUAGAACUGCAUGUGAAACUGUUAUUCUAGAGUAUGGGAGAGGUAAGUGGAAGUCUUGGUGUAGGGGUAAAAUCCGUAGAGAUCAAGAGGAAUACUCAUGGCGAAGGCGACCUGCUAGAACAUAACUGACGCUGAUGCGCGAAAGCGUGGGGAGCAAACAGGAUUAGAUACCCCUGUAGUC
This 440-nucleotide ribosomal RNA is filed under the name uncultured bacterium. Its description in RNAcentral is "partial 16S ribosomal RNA". It matches the Rfam family "Bacterial small subunit ribosomal RNA", at positions 338 to 795 of the family's 1533-position model. The record is from RNAcentral.